MicroRNA precursor from Mustela putorius furo (domestic ferret), 144 nucleotides. The record is from Ensembl. Lineage: Eukaryota; Metazoa; Chordata; Mammalia; Carnivora; Mustelidae.
CACAGAGCCCAGUUAAACUUGAAUUUUAGAUAAACAAGAAAUAAUUUUUAGUUUAAGUAUACCUCAUGCAAUAUUUGGGACAUACUUAUACUAAAAAAUCAUUCCUUGUUUAUUUGAAAUUCAAGUUUAACUGGGCAUCCUAUA